AGGUCCAUAUAUUUAAAGGAUGAAGCCCAGUAAGCCUUCCCCUGGCACUAAAAAAUCCCUUGACUUGACUUUGGGUGUGAUAGCCUGUUUUGACUUACAAUCUACUUGGUCAGGGCCAGGGAGCGUUCCUGCCAUUGUUCCCCUUGUUGCUCUGGAGAUGCUGGUCCCUCAGGCUGGUCCUUGUUAGUCUAAAACACUGCCGGGAGCCAUCGGGCUGUGACCCCAGAGCCUGGCACAGCCCCACCAAGUCCAGCCAUUCCCGCAGCCCUGUCCCAGCAUUGCAGGCACUCAGAGAAAUGGGUGUCCUUUCUCUUAGACCUUAUCUGGGAUUUCUGCCAUGCCUGUGAAGCACAGCCCUCCUGUCCCAGUUGCUUUUGUGACAGCAGUACUGAAACCAAAGGCUGUGCUGUGUGGGGAGGCAGGGAGAUUUUUGCUGGUGUUUUCAGCAGAGUUAAAGUGGCACUGCCUGCUUUCUGCUGUCCUGAGCACCUGCUAGCAGGAAUCAUAGGUGCACUGCCCAUGCUUACUUUUUCCCCUCUCCUGUAACUCUUCUGCUGCUACAGCCACAGGUUGAUUUGCUGCUGCCUGCAGCCAGCACAAAGUGAUACAGACCUUGGCAAUAUGCAGGGAACAUGACUGUCUUUUAACCACUGCUACACAGGGAAGCCUCCCUUUCCAACAAGCAUCAGAUGACUUGAAGGCAAUUCUUCAGGAAAACCCUCUAUAACAGGAAAUCACAACUUGAAAAAAGACCAAACCUUUUUAAAAAAAACAAAACCACAGAAUUGUUUGCUGCCUUUCUGCUCACAAAACCAAGCAGGUUAAAGUGAUGGUAAGAUAUUUGUCCCAGGAGUUACAGGCUCUCCAGCCACUAAGUCAGCCUGAAGUGGUUCAGUGUCCAGGUCAUCCCAGGACACUGACAAGGUGAUGGCAAAUGAUUUGGCUCCCAUCCAGAGGCCUCGUGUUUCAGGCUGGUCUGUCUGUCAGGGAGGUCCUGCCAGUGCCUCAUGGCUAUCCAUCCAUUCCACCUCAGCCAAGGUCAGCCCUGCCCAGGCUGCAGGCACACCUGCCACUUAGUCCCUGGUUUCCUGCCACAGCAUGGCUCCUGCCCCAGCUGCCAGGUCUGUUGUCCAUGCCUAGUGCUGAACAGGUCCUGUGAGUCUUCCUCUUUGCCUUCCAGCCCCUGGCCACAGGGUAACACCACAGCCAGAGCACUUGCAGGUGUUUGGGCUUCAUCCCAUGCUUCCUGGGAUCUGUCUGCUCCCCAAACUCUCAUUCUUAGGACAGCAACAUCUGGGCUGACCAUUCUCCUUUUGCCUGAUUCACAUGGGGAGAGAGCUUAUUUUUCUGAAGAUGACAGACAGAAAGGCAGAAUGGCUUCCUCUCACACAUACCAGCACUGCCUCAGUUCCAGUGGUUUGGGACACCUGGAGCAGAAGCGUUAAUGUUCCUCACUUUCAUCCUGAGAAAUAUAGGACAACAGAGACUACACCGUAGUUAGAAACUCUGCUAUAAGGUCUGACCCAUUUUUGUCCUCCGAAAGCAAUCUAACAUCUGCUCUCAGUAUUUCUGUGUGCCAUUUCAGAAAUAUCUUUGGAAGAGCACUGCUAAUUCAUGCCCUGCCUACUUUCAAAUCAUAUUAUUUCAGACUCUAGUUUAUAUAUGCUUGGGGAUGGAUCUUUAUGUAAACUAAAACUUACACUGAAUAUUAUCUUGGGCAUAAAUUCAGUAGCAAAAUGGACUUGCACCUGGCACUUAAAUCUCCGCUCAGUCCAUCUGUCCUGCAGAUCCUGCUGCGGCUAAGUGAGAAAAAAUCUUUGUUGUUCUGUGCUGAGGCAAUUUUUUGGAGGCUCUUGGAGGUGGUGAGGAGAAAGGGCUUGGAAAAAUGUCUCCCAUUGCUCCUCAACCAGUACAGGCAGCAGGCAAGCCAGACCUGUGGGCUUGGUGGGGCAUGGGAAGGAGAAACAAUGGAAAUGCCAGACAUUGCUUCAGUGUCAAGACCUGGAACCGAUGAACAGCAAUCCCUGUGAUUAACCACCAAGGGAACCUCUUCAGCACUGUACAGUCAAGAGGCAGAGGGGUUUGACUCCAUGUAUCAGGGGCUUUCAUGCCCUGGAAGAAGAAAAUAAAAUCCUUGUAGAUCCGCUAUGCCAACACGAGGCCUGGGAGGCCUGGUGGCUCUCAGAGGCCACUGCUAAAACUCUUGUUUCUGAGUGAGAAGUUUUUGUUCUGCAGAUAUUCUCUGCCAACAAAUAUUCCUCUAAUUGGAGAGCCAUCAAAAAUGCUGGCUCUGCUUAUUUUAGAGUCCAUCUUUGACCUUUACCACAAUGAAAUACUUCUACUGAUGUUCCACCAGAGGCUAUAAAACAUCUGGCCUGACUGUGCACCAAAGAGCUGGAAUUUUCUAGCCAUUUCAGUGGCUAGAAAUUUAGUGGCAUUGACCCCAAACUACAAUUUAUCUGCACCAUUUAUGAGUCCCCUGGAAGCCAUCUGGCCUGAGAUGCUGGGGGCAGCUUGAUACAUUGAGUAAACCUAGUCCACACCUGGGAGAAUGGAGAAACCUGAUUUUGAAGGAAGAACUCCAGUCUUACGUAGAAUAAUGCAGCAGCCUUCAAGGCAGGGCAGUGAGAUUGAAGGAUGUCUGCCCUUUCACACACCCUUCCCGCACUGUGUCACUGCUGGGUGGCAAAGCAAUGGGGAAAGGCAGGAGAGAUGUAGAUAGCCAGGCAGGAUGACGCCAGUUCCCCCUCAGAGGCUGCGUUUCACUGCCACUGUGGCUGUGCCCCUGCCCCUCCAAAUCCCCCAGGGGCCCCAAGCAGUACGGAAGGGAGCCAGGUGCAGGGGUUAUUUACUUGGACAAACAAAAGCAGUGACUUUCGGCAGGCCUGGGAGCAGCAGUGAGGAGAAGACACCUGCAUGUCAGCAGGUGGGCUCAGCUGCUGCAGUGCUGCACUUGCUGCAGCUGCAAAAGGCACAUCCCUGCCUUGGCUCAGGGUACCCCCAAAAUACGCAACCAGCAGAUGGUGCCUUGCCCCACACCCUUAUUUUCUGACUCUGUUCCUUCCCGUCUCUUCUCCACAGACCAUGGGUCUGCUGGCUGGUUAGGCUGGAGUGGACUGGAUAUAAAUUCUAUGUAAUUUUCUUGAAGAGCAAACAGCACUUGACCUUGUUUCUCUCUUGGUGGGCUGCCAGGAAGGUCAGCUGCCCAGCAACAUUUUUGGUGGUGGCAACCAUAGCGGUGAGGCAUCGCAAUAUGUUCAAACUCACAUCUAAUUCCCUGUGUGUUCUGCUACAGAUGAAUAGACAAAAGACCUCCUGGGCAGAGAGGGGGGCCCUGCUCCACCAGAGUUUGGAUUUUUCACUGUCAGCCAAGCAGAGGAUCCAAACUCCAACAAUAAGCUCCCUGCUCCAGACGAAAAACAUUUAUAACCUCUCCAAGCCAGGCUCUGGCAGGGCAAUACAAACUGUGAGCUCCACAAGCUAAUGACCUUGAAAGUAUCCAUUUAUCUUGGCCUUUCCCCCCAGCUUGAGAUGCCACAGAAAAUGUGAGGCUUGCUUUCUUCUUUCCAUUACUUUUUUUCUUUUCCUUUUUGAGCGAGAGGAAUGAAUAUUCAGGGAAUGCAGGCAAUAUGGAAAUUGCUCCGUUUCACCUCUCUGGCUGGAGCUCAGCACUGAGACCACAGUGGAAAUCAAGGCUGAGGGGCAAUUGGUCCUGGUAUUCUAGAAGGGCAAUCGGUGGCAAAGACACAUCACUGCUUUGCCUCCGUUACCUGAUUGCUCCACAUUGGCUCUUCCUUCAUUAAUCUUCAUCAAUAAACAAUAUUUACAACCAUCAAAACCCAAUCCUUUGAGCCCAUUGUUCUUAUUCACUAAAGGCAUCUUAUAACUUGGUGUGAUGUGACAGCCUGAACUGCAUUAAAAUCCAGACAACAGGUUAGAAACAUCCCUGGAACAAAUGGAGCUGGUGCACCGUAAAUGUUUUUUCCUCAGGGAGAGCAGUGACUCCCUGGAGUGUGUUACUUUUCAAAGUCAGUGUCUGUUUUCUAUGCAUUGCCACUGUACAGAAUCCAUUGCAUGCCACAGCAGGGUGCUCCCUUUUUUAUGGGAUAUACAACUUGGGUGUAAAAUAAUCCCACAUCAUUUCCUUUGGUGUUUGGUACAGACAGCUUAAAGUAAAAAGGGAAGUCACACAAAGCAGCUGACAACGGGCACAGGCAGAAGCUGCUACUAGGAAACAUCCUUCUACUUACAGGGGGGAAAAAAAUAUUUGCCAAGAUGUUUUCUGAUUGCUGAAUGUUUUAGUUCUCUUACAGAUGUGGUGGGAUCCAACCACUUUAUUUGCAGAUAUUCUGCAGUAGAUCUGGCUGCUGCUCUGCAGCACCUGCAGGCUGGGGCCUGCCUCUCACCUUUGUUCUCAGCCAGUAGAGCUGUCUGCUGGGACGAGCAUUUGGUCUCCAGAGAGAAUUUGCUGGCUGCUGCCUUUGAAGCAAGCACCAGCUCGUGUUUCCAUUUUAGGCAUACAUGUAAUGUACAUCUUUGCUUACUGGGCACACUGCAAUGCAAUCCAGCCUCAGGAAUUCUUGGCUUCCCUCUGGAUUUUGAUGACUUUAUGAAAGGUGGUGUUGCACUGAAGGGGUCCAUGGUAGUCAUCUCCUGACUCACUGCCAGCAGGAUGGAGACUCAUGAUGACUUAAAGAGUAGAAGUUUUGUUCCAGGAGACAUACUCCCAGAGCUGCCUGACUAGUGCCAUCACUGGACGAGUGGGUAGAGGAUCAGACAUACCAAGGACACGGGACUCAGUGUGACCCUACAUUGCAGUCUGCAAGCCAGUGAACCGCAGACUUUCCUACAAACACCUCCUUCUAAUUCCUCCACCGAAGGAGCAACCAGGAACUCUCACUGCUACCAAAAUGAAGCCAGAGUCUUGCACAUCCAUAGUUCUGGGUUAGAAAACAUAAGCCCCAGGUGAAGUGCAUUUGGAAGAUCUCUGCCAUCUGAUGUGAAUGAAGACCCCUGUCACAAAGUCAUCUGUAUGACCUACUUGCUUCUCACUGCUAAGGAAUUGUCCAGGACUCAUGUAACAACUUCAAACUCAGGCACAUUCCUCGAGCUGUGUGAGGAAGCUUGCACAUUGCCUGACCACAUUAUAUCUGCCUCUAGGCAGUGUUAUCACUCCUUCCCUUCCAUAUGCUU
This is a long non-coding RNA of Cyanistes caeruleus (blue tit), 5193 nucleotides long. RefSeq lists it as uncharacterized. The record is from RefSeq and is a predicted model, not a curated record. Lineage: Eukaryota; Metazoa; Chordata; Aves; Passeriformes; Paridae.